ACUCUCCAGGCUUGGUACUGCACAGAACAGACAUUGUGACAUAUAUCUAGGCAAAUUGCCUAGAAGUGAAUCCCCUCUCCUGCUUAAGUCCUUCCCACAGAGAGCGGUUUGAUAUGUCACUGAAACCAGCAUCCAGGUGGUAUUGCUCCAUAUGCCUGAGACCCUAACAAAAGCCUAAUUACAACUCAUAUGCCUGGAGCCAGGACAUGUGCAGGAUGGUGAUGUAACUUUCCUCUCUGGAAUGGGUCCUGCACAAAGGAAUGAUAGUAACAUAUUGCAAAGCCAGACACACAGCCAUGAUGGUCCAAGUUAUAUUGGGAUUCAGCCAAUAGAAGAUAUUUUGCCUGUCAUCCCUAAGCUUAGGACAAUAGGAACAUUGUGACAUUGCUGGACGUAGCAUCUAGGAAAUGUACUCUCCUCUCCUGCCUAGGCCCUGCCCACUAAAGGAAUUGUGACAUACCACUGAGUGCAAAACCUAGGGUCCUGCCCACAAGAAAGAUUGUGACAUCUCACUGGACAAGCACCCACCCAGACUCUGCCAAGAGAGGGGAUUAUUACAUAUUGCAGAGCCCAGCACCUAGGUGGAGUGACUCUCAUCUUUUUCUUCUACCCCGUAUAUAGCCAGCUUGGUGACCUACUAUUUGAGUCUAUACCCAGGCCCAGACCACAGAUGAAAUUGUGCAAUAUGUGGAACAAACACCUAAACAAUAUAUAACACCUUCCUUGGCUCUGUCUACAAAGGGCACUUUUAUAUAUCACUGGGACCAUCAACCAGGUGAUGUUAAUUAUCUUCCUGAAACCUGUCUACAAAGAGAGUUGUGUCGUAUACCUAGGCCCGUCAUGUAAGUGAUGUCAGUCCCUUCUACUGCCUUGGCCCUGCACUUACAGUGCAUUGUGACACAUAACAAGGUACUGCACACAGACGAUGUGAUUCUCCUUUUUGGGUUCUGCCAAAAGGAAGCAUUGUAAUAAAUCGCUUGGCUCAGUACCAAGGUGAUGUUUCUUUGCUUUUGCCUGGGCCCUGAUAACAGGGAGAUUGUGAUCUAUUGCUGGGCCCAACAAAAAUGUGAGGUCACUCUCCAGCCGUGGUACUUCACAUAAGCGCCAUUGUGACAUGUAUCUAGGCCAAUUGCCUAGGUGAAGUGAGUUUCCUCUCUUGCCAAAGUCCUGCCCACAGAGGGGGUUUUGAUAUGUCACUGAAAUCAGCAUUCAGGUGAUGUGACUCUUCUGCCAGGGUCCUGCGUACUAGGUGGAUUGUGACAUCUCACUGGACCCGCAACCAUGUAGGUCAUGUGACUUUCAUGCCUUCUCACUGGCCACAGGUGAUGUUGUGCCAUAUAACUGAGACCGUAUCAAAAGCCUAAUAACAAGACGUAUGUCUGGAGCCCCGAUAUGCACAGGAUGGUGAUAUAACCCUCUUCUCUGGAAUGGGCCCCACACAAAGGAAGGAUAGUGACAUAUUGCAAGCCCAGGCACACAGGCCCAGAGCACAGUUGAAAUUGUGACAUAUGUACACCAAGCAACCAAGCAAUGUAUAACACCUCAUUUGGCAAUGGAAUCGAGGGCACUUUUACAUAUCACUGAGACCAGCGCCCAGCUGAUGUGAAAUAUUGGCCUGAACCCUGCCUACAAAAGCAUUGUGGCUUUUAUCUAGCUCCAUUACAUAAGUGAUGUGACUUCCU
This 1682-nucleotide long non-coding RNA is filed under the name Homo sapiens (human). Its description in RNAcentral is "long intergenic non-protein coding RNA 293". The record is from RNAcentral. Lineage: Eukaryota; Metazoa; Chordata; Mammalia; Primates; Hominidae.